This 1473-nucleotide ribosomal RNA is filed under the name Lacticaseibacillus paracasei. RNAcentral describes it as "bacterial SSU rRNA". It matches the Rfam family "Bacterial small subunit ribosomal RNA". Lineage: Bacteria; Bacillati; Bacillota; Bacilli; Lactobacillales; Lactobacillaceae. The record is from RNAcentral.
UGCCUAAUACAUGCAAGUCGAACGAGUUCUCGUUGAUGAUCGGUGCUUGCACCGAGAUUCAACAUGGAACGAGUGGCGGACGGGUGAGUAACACGUGGGUAACCUGCCCUUAAGUGGGGGAUAACAUUUGGAAACAGAUGCUAAUACCGCAUAGAUCCAAGAACCGCAUGGUUCUUGGCUGAAAGAUGGCGUAAGCUAUCGCUUUUGGAUGGACCCGCGGCGUAUUAGCUAGUUGGUGAGGUAAUGGCUCACCAAGGCGAUGAUACGUAGCCGAACUGAGAGGUUGAUCGGCCACAUUGGGACUGAGACACGGCCCAAACUCCUACGGGAGGCAGCAGUAGGGAAUCUUCCACAAUGGACGCAAGUCUGAUGGAGCAACGCCGCGUGAGUGAAGAAGGCUUUCGGGUCGUAAAACUCUGUUGUUGGAGAAGAAUGGUCGGCAGAGUAACUGUUGUCGGCGUGACGGUAUCCAACCAGAAAGCCACGGCUAACUACGUGCCAGCAGCCGCGGUAAUACGUAGGUGGCAAGCGUUAUCCGGAUUUAUUGGGCGUAAAGCGAGCGCAGGCGGUUUUUUAAGUCUGAUGUGAAAGCCCUCGGCUUAACCGAGGAAGCGCAUCGGAAACUGGGAAACUUGAGUGCAGAAGAGGACAGUGGAACUCCAUGUGUAGCGGUGAAAUGCGUAGAUAUAUGGAAGAACACCAGUGGCGAAGGCGGCUGUCUGGUCUGUAACUGACGCUGAGGCUCGAAAGCAUGGGUAGCGAACAGGAUUAGAUACCCUGGUAGUCCAUGCCGUAAACGAUGAAUGCUAGGUGUUGGAGGGUUUCCGCCCUUCAGUGCCGCAGCUAACGCAUUAAGCAUUCCGCCUGGGGAGUACGACCGCAAGGUUGAAACUCAAAGGAAUUGACGGGGGCCCGCACAAGCGGUGGAGCAUGUGGUUUAAUUCGAAGCAACGCGAAGAACCUUACCAGGUCUUGACAUCUUUUGAUCACCUGAGAGAUCAGGUUUCCCCUUCGGGGGCAAAAUGACAGGUGGUGCAUGGUUGUCGUCAGCUCGUGUCGUGAGAUGUUGGGUUAAGUCCCGCAACGAGCGCAACCCUUAUGACUAGUUGCCAGCAUUUAGUUGGGCACUCUAGUAAGACUGCCGGUGACAAACCGGAGGAAGGUGGGGAUGACGUCAAAUCAUCAUGCCCCUUAUGACCUGGGCUACACACGUGCUACAAUGGAUGGUACAACGAGUUGCGAGACCGCGAGGUCAAGCUAAUCUCUUAAAGCCAUUCUCAGUUCGGACUGUAGGCUGCAACUCGCCUACACGAAGUCGGAAUCGCUAGUAAUCGCGGAUCAGCACGCCGCGGUGAAUACGUUCCCGGGGCCUUGUACACACCGCCCGUCACACCAUGAGAGUUUGUAACACCCGAAGCCGGUGGCGUAACCCUUUUAGGGAGCGAGCCGUCUAAGGUGGGACAAAUGAUUAGG